This 73-nucleotide transfer RNA is filed under the name Tautonia plasticadhaerens. RNAcentral describes it as "Planctomycetes bacterium ElP tRNA-Gln". It matches the Rfam family "tRNA". Rfam says of the family: Transfer RNA (tRNA) molecules are approximately 80 nucleotides in length. Their secondary structure includes four short double-helical elements and three loops (D, anti-codon, and T loops). The record is from RNAcentral. Lineage: Bacteria; Pseudomonadati; Planctomycetota; Planctomycetia; Isosphaerales; Isosphaeraceae.
UCGGGGAUCGGCGAAUCGGUAGGCCUCCGGCUUCUGAGGCCGGUCGUGGAGGUUCGAGCCCUCCUCCCCGAUC